This 1510-nucleotide long non-coding RNA is filed under the name Vigna radiata. RNAcentral's name for it is "long non-coding RNA (VRAD_LNC010591)". The record is from RNAcentral. Lineage: Eukaryota; Viridiplantae; Streptophyta; Magnoliopsida; Fabales; Fabaceae.
UGUUUCUAGGUUCGUGACUUCCUCUUUGUCGUGUUCUUCGAAGAAACAAUUGUUUUCCAUGUUAUGCGAUCCACGACCAAUUGACGACGGUAACAAGGUAACUUUCUUCAGUGUUUGUCCCUUUGCAGAUUGUAAAGGCUCAUAGCAAAAUCACUAUUUGGUCCAGUGUAAACUCUAAUUGAAGAGUUUGCAUAUUUUACCAAAACCUUGUACAUUUGCUAGAGUCUUUAUAAGUGGCAGCUCAUGCUAGAAAAUAAAUGAUUAAUAGAUUGGAAAUUGAAGAUGGUUUGAUUGUUAUUUACGUAUGAUAAUGAUGGAUAAAAUGAACAAACCCUACCCCACCAUUGACACACAACACAUGGCCCUUUUAUACUUACUGUGUCAAUUGUGUUUGGCUCUGCAAGUUCAUAAUUAUGAUGACAAGUGUUUCUUAAUUUUGUAAAAUGAAAAAUACUGUAAGAUAGAGUGGUAUAGUAUUGACGAAUCAAUGCAGCACCAAAAUAUAAGGAAAAAGUGCAGAAAUUGCAACUAAGUACAAUGGUUGCAAGCUCAAGGUUGAUGGGGUAUCCUCAGGCGGUGGGGCAAAUAUGAAUUAUCUAAUUCAUAUUUGCGACACUGUCUGUGGUUGCUCAAAUCACCUUUUCUGAAAGUUAAAAUGUUCACAGCAACAAGAAAAUCUUGAUGAAAAUGACAAUUGGAAAGACAUACAGAUGUUAUAUAUUUAUACCAUACAACAUUUGUAUCAUUUACUUAUUAAAAAAGAGAUGAUAUAUUUUUAAGGAUAUAAGCUAAAGUAAAAUUUUUAUAAUUAUAGAGACUAAAGAAAGAAGGUAUGAGUUGAAUUGAUUUUGAAUGAUAGUAGUGACAAAUGGUUGAGAAAAACAGAUAUUCUCCAUUGAGAAGAGAAGUGGCAAAAUCUGUUACCUGUUGAGCGCAAGACAACUUUCAAUUGCAUGGGGAAACAGCCCUCUGUAUUGGUCCUGGAAACCCAUCCGAGGUUCAAGGUUUGUUUCUGCAUCGUCGACAUCUUUCCAAUUCUCAAACACUUUCUCUUUUAACUGUAACUUUCCACUUCAAUUUCUUCAUAGGUAUCAUGUCAUGUCAUGUCCUAACAAUACCAAUACUUAAUGAUUUUAAUAAUCACAACAUAAGGUUACCUAAUUCGAUCACUAUUCUAAUGGCACAUCAUUACCAAUUACAAACUCGUUUUUGAAAUCUGUGCGUAGAUUUGAAGAAGCAGCUGAACUGAGAACCAUAAGCUGGCUGGAAAUAAAGGGAAGCAUAAACAGCGGAAUGUUAUCUCCCAAUACUUUAUACGGAGCCUACCUGAAAGUGAAAAUCGCGGAUCGAGCUUAUGGGUUAGACGUGUUACCAUCGGAGGUGUCCGUAGAAGUUGGCAAACAUAAAUCACAAGGAACCGUUUGCAUACGUUCAUGUCGAAAAACAGACACCAAAUGUUCUUUUCGUUUUGAAGAUGAAGAAUGGUCGGAGAUUGAGUUGGGGAGUUUUU